This 345-nucleotide long non-coding RNA is filed under the name Physcomitrium patens. Its description in RNAcentral is "long non-coding RNA (PPAT_LNC001359)". The record is from RNAcentral. Lineage: Eukaryota; Viridiplantae; Streptophyta; Bryopsida; Funariales; Funariaceae.
UAUCUUUUAAUAAGAAUUACCUAGAAAAACUAGAGAUUGAUACUUGGAGAGGAUCAUUUGUGACUUAAGAUUAAAAACAAAUCCUAAGACACAAAAUUUCACAUCUAUAUCAAUUGUGGGGUUCUUUGAUUGAUCGAAAAAAGAAAAUGGAGCAAACUUUGGAAGGUUUAUUUAAGCACUUGUUUUGAGUGAUUUGAGUGAAUAUUAAUUCUAUGAAAUCUUUGUAAUCUUAGCGCUAUUUUAAGUGAUUUAGAAUAUUAUAAAAUAAAAAAGAUUUUAUAUUUUAGAGAAUUUUGUGAGCAUUGUAACAAAUCUAUAAGUUAUAUAUUGUAAGAUUUUUAAUCU